RNAcentral lists this ribosomal RNA (484 nucleotides) under uncultured bacterium. Its description in RNAcentral is "partial 16S ribosomal RNA". It matches the Rfam family "Bacterial small subunit ribosomal RNA", at positions 28 to 507 of the family's 1533-position model. The record is from RNAcentral.
AUUGAACGCUGGCGGCAUGCUUUACACAUGCAAGUCGAACGGCAGCGCGGGCUUCGGCCUGGCGGCGAGUGGCGAACGGGUGAGUAAUGCAUCGGAACGUGCCCAGUAGUGGGGGAUAGCCCGGCGAAAGCCGGAUUAAUACCGCAUACGACCUGAGGGUGAAAGCGGGGGACCGAAAGGCCUCGCGCUAUUGGAGCGGCCGAUGUCGGAUUAGCUAGUUGGUGGGGUAAAGGCUCACCAAGGCGACGAUCCGUAGCUGGUCUGAGGGGACGACCAGCCAGACUGGGACUGAGACACGGCCCAGACUCCGACGGGAGGCAGCAGUGGGGAAUUUUGGACAAUGGGGGCAACCCUGAUCCAGCCAUGCCGCGUGCGGGAAGAAGGCCUUCGGGUUGUAAACCGCUUUUGUUCGGGAAGAAAUCCUCUGGGCUAAUACCCCGGGGGGAUGACGGUACCGGAAGAAUAAGCACCGGCUAACUACGUG